AGUGAACGCUGGCGGCGUGCCUAAUACAUGCAAGUCGAACGGAGUGGCGCACGGGUGAGUAAUGUAUAGCUAAUCUGCCCUACACUAGAGGACAACAGUUGGAAACGGCUGCUAAUACUCUAUAGUGUAGGAUGAGGCUAUAUUGUAUCAGCUAGUUGGUGAGGUAAUGGCUCACCAAGGCUAUGACGCAUAACUGGUCUGAGAGGAUGAUCAGUCACACUGGAAACGGGACACGGGUCCGGCUCCUACGGGAGGGAGCAGUAGGGGAUAUUUCCACAAGGGGGAAACCCUGAAGCAGCAACGCCGCGUGGAGGAUGACACUUUUCGGAGCGUAAACUCCUUUUGUUAGGGAAGCGGUACCUAACGAAUAAGCACCGGCUAACUCCGUGCCAGCAGCCGCGGUAAUAG
RNAcentral lists this ribosomal RNA (408 nucleotides) under uncultured bacterium. Its description in RNAcentral is "partial 16S ribosomal RNA". It matches the Rfam family "Bacterial small subunit ribosomal RNA", at positions 29 to 526 of the family's 1533-position model. The record is from RNAcentral.